UAAAUAUUCAUUUUCUUGGAGUACUGGCUGUUUUAUAGCUGAUUAUGAACUUACUUGUUGGUGUAGUUUCAAGUUAGUAUUUCUUUUUUAUAAGUGGUGGAAAACCAUUUACCAGUUCUGUGAAGAGGUAGAUGAUGCUAAAAUUAAGAAGGGAGAAGGCCAACACUUAGCUGAGAGAUACUAUACUCACAACAUUUAGCUGAAACACCAACAUUCAAAGCCCUAGUAAAACAUAAGAAGUCAUCC
RNAcentral lists this long non-coding RNA (246 nucleotides) under Phoenix dactylifera (date palm). RNAcentral's name for it is "long non-coding RNA (PDAC_LNC004322)". Lineage: Eukaryota; Viridiplantae; Streptophyta; Magnoliopsida; Arecales; Arecaceae. The record is from RNAcentral.